Molecule: ribosomal RNA, 434 nt
Filed under: uncultured bacterium
Lineage: Bacteria
Description: partial 16S ribosomal RNA
Rfam family: Bacterial small subunit ribosomal RNA
Source: RNAcentral
AGCGAACGCUGGCGGCAGGCCUAACACAUGCAAGUCGAACGAACCUUUCGGGGUUAGUGGCGGACGGGUGAGUAACCCGUGGGAACGUGCCUUUAGGUUCGGAAUAACUCAGGGAAACUUGUGCUAAUACCGAAUGUGCCCUUCGGGGGAAAGAUUUAUCGCCGUUAGAGCGGCCCGCGUCUGAUUAGCUAGUUGGUUGAGGUAAUGGCUCACCAAGGCGACGAUCAGUAGCUGGUCUGAGAGGAUGAUCAGCCACAUUGGGACUGAGACACGGCCCAAACUCCUACGGGAGGCAGCAGUGGGGAAUCUUGCGCAAUGGGCGAAAGCCUGACGCAGCCAUGCCGCGUGAAUGAUGAAGGUCUUAGGAUUGUAAAAUUCUUUCACCGGGGACGAUAAUGACGGUACCCGGAGAAGAAGCCCCGGCUAACUUCGUG